GUAACAAGGUCUCCGUAGGUGAACCUGCGGAGGGAUCAUUACUGAGUGAGGGCCUUCGGGCUCGACCUCCAACCCUUUGUGAACACAACUUGUUGCUUCGGGGGCGACCCUGCCGUUUCGACGGCGAGCGCCCCCGGAGGCCUUCAAACACUGCAUCUUUGCGUCGGAGUUUAAGUAAAUUAAACAAAACUUUCAACAACGGAUCUCUUGGUUCUGGCAUCGAUGAAGAACGCAGCGAAAUGCGAUAAGUAAUGUGAAUUGCAGAAUUCAGUGAAUCAUCGAAUCUUUGAACGCACAUUGCGCCCCUUGGUAUUCCGAGGGGCAUGCCUGUUCGAGCGUCAUUUCACCACUCAAGCCUCGCUUGGUAUUGGGCGCCGCGGUGUUCCGCGCGCCUCAAAGUCUCCGGCUGAGCCUGUCCGUCGUCUCUAAGCGUUGUGAUUUCAUUAAUCGCUUCGGAGCGCGGGCGGUCGCGGCCGUUAAAUCUUUCACAAGGUUGACCUCGGAUCAGGUAGGGAUACCCGCUGAACUUAAGCAUAUC
Molecule: ribosomal RNA, 538 nt
Filed under: Cercospora cocciniae
Lineage: Eukaryota; Fungi; Ascomycota; Dothideomycetes; Mycosphaerellales; Mycosphaerellaceae
Description: eukaryotic LSU rRNA
Rfam family: 5.8S ribosomal RNA (bases 188-341)
Source: RNAcentral